UCGAGAAUCUUCCACAAUGGACGAAAGUCUGAUGGAGCGACGCCGCGUGAGUGAUGAAGGCCAUACGGGUUGUAAAACUCUGUCAGGAGAGAAGAAUCGCCGGGGUGCCAAUACCAUCCUGGUUUGACGUUAUCUCCAGAGGAAGCUCCGGCUAACUCCGUGCCAGCAGCCGCGGUAAUACGGGGGGAGCAAGCGUUGUCCGGAAUUAUUGGGCGUAAAGGGCGUGUAGGCGGCUUGGUCAGUCGAAUGUGAAAUCCCACGGCUCAACCGUGGAAUUGCGUUCGAUACUGCCUGGCUUGAGUAUGUGAGAGGUGUGCGGAAUUCCGUGGUGUAGCGGUGGAAUGCGUAGAUAUCAGGAAGAACACCGAUGGCGAAGGCAGCACACUGGCGCAAAUCUGACGC
Molecule: ribosomal RNA, 402 nt
Filed under: uncultured bacterium
Lineage: Bacteria
Description: bacterial SSU rRNA
Rfam family: Bacterial small subunit ribosomal RNA
Source: RNAcentral